Long non-coding RNA from Hippocampus zosterae (dwarf seahorse), 1041 nucleotides. RefSeq lists it as uncharacterized. Lineage: Eukaryota; Metazoa; Chordata; Actinopteri; Syngnathiformes; Syngnathidae. The transcript is spliced from 3 exons. The record is from RefSeq and is a predicted model, not a curated record.
CAUAUUAGCCAGGUCCAGAAUGUUUUUAUCAAGUUCUCGCAGCUGAGACCCGGAAGUAAAAGGCGGACCAAAACCGGAAACGAGUCAUUGUUUUCCUUGGCGUUUUGUUUGCUCAUAUUUUUUGUGUUCUUCAAACACGUGAGCGAAGUUAGUUUAGGGACUUUCGGUCUCAAUCAGGCAUUUUUGGAUUGUUUUUUAAAUGUGCAGGAGACGACCACUGUCCAGGAACGUUGUCUCCGCGUCGGCUGCUGGCUGUCUGCGUGCAAAAGUGGCGACGUGUUGUGCAAAGCCGAUUGCGUCAAGCCAAGUGUUGGAUGACAGUCGCCGCCUGGUGAACGGGACCUAAGAAAAAGGACACCGGCUUACAGCGCAUUUCUGGAGGGAGACGAGCCAAGGAGAUGUCCAACCGCUUCCGAGGGCCUCAGACUGGACAAGCCUGAACACAAACAGGAGGUACGCAAUGAACCCGUCAAGCUUUUAAUUCAGUUUAAUUUUAAUGUGGGUCAACUUGAGAUUUCAGCUGCAAUUUCGAAACUCUUUGCCCAGCAGGCGCAGCGUCUUGGUGACCAAAGUGCAGACGCCACGAUGGCACCAACUGGAAGCUUCUCAGCAGUCAAAAAAAAAAAUGUUUUAGCAUCUUGGCUCAUCUCAGAACGUUGUUCAUGACGUCAUGUUCGCUCCACCACCUGCAACAACAGUCUUUUUAAAUGUCUUUUCCGACAGAAGCAUUAUUGGCGAAAAAGAUCAACGGUACUUGAGCCCGUCCACCGUCUUCCUGGAGGGGAUGCCGAUUCAGAUUUUCUGGUGCAAACAGUUGCUUUGGCGCCGCCUAGUGGACAUGAGCAGAAAGACAGUACAGGAUGUGAAAUGUACCUUUUCAACUGAAUCUGCAAAAGAGAAAAUGUGUUAAAAAAUGGUCACGUCAGCCAUCUUGUUUUGCUGCAUGCUCAAACCCAGCAGACUGCCUCAUUCGCUGUUGUCUUAUUCCUCAGUCAGCUCUGGAUGAAGUCAAGAUGCCGUUUCACCUGCGCACACACAAAA